GUAGGGUGCAAGCGUUAUCCGGAAUCAUUGGGCGUAAAGAGCUCGUAGGCGGUUCAGCAAGUCGGCUGUGAAAUCCCGAGGCUUAACCUCGGAACUGCAGUCGAUACUGCUGUGACUAGAGUCCGGUAGAGGAGAAUGGAAUUCCCGGUGUGGCGGUGAAAUGCGCAGAUAUCGGGAGGAACACCAGUAGCGAAGGCGGUUCUCUGGGCCGGUACUGACGCUGAGGAGCGAAAGCGUGGGGGUAGCAAACAGGAUUAGAUACCCUGGUAGUCCACGCCGUAAACGUUGGACACUAGGUGUGGCGUUCCGACCAACGGGUGCCGUGCCGAAGCUAACGCAUUAAGUGUCCCCGCCUGGGAGUACGGCCGCAAGGCUA
RNAcentral lists this ribosomal RNA (376 nucleotides) under uncultured organism. Its description in RNAcentral is "partial 16S ribosomal RNA". It matches the Rfam family "Bacterial small subunit ribosomal RNA", at positions 527 to 896 of the family's 1533-position model. The record is from RNAcentral.